RNAcentral lists this long non-coding RNA (859 nucleotides) under Olea europaea subsp. europaea. The record is from RNAcentral. Lineage: Eukaryota; Viridiplantae; Streptophyta; Magnoliopsida; Lamiales; Oleaceae.
CCUGUUCAACAUAUGACAGUCACAAUUCAAAUGGAAAACUGAUGAAAUUCGUUCAUUUGGAGAAGAUAAAGCUCGUAAUUUUCAAUAAUAUGAUUUUUCCAAUGUACAUACAGUAAAUAUGUGAUCAAAUUUAGAAGGUAUGCAUACAUCAAGCUCAACAUAAGGUUUUGAAAUUAUUGAUUUAACGUUUUCGAAUUUUAUGAAUGAUUAUUGUAACCGUGAUCAGUGAGAUUAUGUGUGCAUUUUACCCAUUCUGUGGCAUCUAUUUUCAAUUUUUGUGAUCAGAGAGUAUGCAUUUGUUAUUUGUAUUUUCAAAUUUCAUAAAAUGCUUAUAUAAAAUUACUUUCUCUCUCUUACGCUACAGAUUUAGGAAAUAGGUGCAUUCACAUCUUCGUUACAUCCAAAAUCACUCCAAAAUUAUCAUUAAAAUUUGCCAUGAUUUGAUAAAUAUAUUUCUUUAAGAGCAUAUUUCGACUAAGUCACAAUGUCUUCAUCAAUUUUAUGAUUCAUCUGUCUACAGAUUUCAAUCUGGUAAGAGUUGUCGGAAUGUGAUAGUUAAAGAAUCUGGUAAUUGAAGAUCUCCAUAUUUCACUGUGAAGAGAUCAUAAAGCCAUUCUUUUUUUGUCUUAUUCACAAACUGUAUAUUCAAUGAAAGAUUAUUCAUUUGAAAUUUACGAUUAAUUUGAAUUGUGAAUUCAUCUUGUGACUUAAAAAUUCAAAACUUUUGAAUAGGUUUUUGUAUUUCAUAAAAUCUCAGCAUGAAUGUGACUUAUUAAUUGUGUGUUUUGUGUUGUACGUCACUAUGUUCUGUUUAACAAUGGUUGUUUGUGAUCAGAUCUAUGUAAGCUAUUGUUGUUUG